Molecule: transfer RNA, 65 nt
Filed under: Eusthenes cupreus
Lineage: Eukaryota; Metazoa; Arthropoda; Insecta; Hemiptera; Tessaratomidae
Description: tRNA-Asp
Rfam family: tRNA
About the family: Transfer RNA (tRNA) molecules are approximately 80 nucleotides in length. Their secondary structure includes four short double-helical elements and three loops (D, anti-codon, and T loops).
Source: RNAcentral
GAGAGUUUAGUUUAAAGAAAACAUUAACUUGUCAAGUUAAAAAUAUUAAAUAAUAAUAACCCUCA